RNAcentral lists this ribosomal RNA (271 nucleotides) under uncultured bacterium. RNAcentral's name for it is "partial 16S ribosomal RNA". It matches the Rfam family "Bacterial small subunit ribosomal RNA", at positions 524 to 794 of the family's 1533-position model. The record is from RNAcentral.
UACAGAGGGUGCAAGCGUUAAUCGGAAUUACUGGGCGUAAAGCGUGCGUAGACGGUUAUGUAAGUCGGGUGUGAAAGCCCCGGGCUCAACCUGGGAAUUGCAUUCGAGACUGCAUAGCUAGGAUGCGGAAGAGGGAAGCGGAAUUUCCGGUGUAGCGGUGAAAUGCGUAGAUAUCGGAAGGAACACCAGUGGCGAAAGCGGCUUCCUGGUCCAGCAUCGACGUUCAGGCACGAAAGCGUGGGGAGCAAACAGGAUUAGAAACCCGGGUAGU